This 274-nucleotide ribosomal RNA is filed under the name uncultured bacterium. Its description in RNAcentral is "partial 16S ribosomal RNA". It matches the Rfam family "Bacterial small subunit ribosomal RNA", at positions 523 to 796 of the family's 1533-position model. The record is from RNAcentral.
AUACGGAGGGUGCAAGCGUUACUCGGAAUCACUGGGCGUAAAGGAUGCGUAGGCUGGAUGUCAAGUUGGAAGUGAAAUCCUAUGGCUUAACCAUAGAACUGCUUCCAAAACUGGCAACCUAGAGUGAGGGAGAGGCAGAUGGAAUUAGUGGUGUAGGGGUAAAAUCCGUAGAUAUCACUAGGAGUACCGAUUGCGAAGGCGAUCUGCUAGAACUCUACUGACGCUAAGGCAUGAAAGCGUGGGGAGCAAACAGGAUUAGAAACCCCAGUAGUCC